AACCAGACUCCUACGGGAGGCAGCAGUGGGGGAUAUUGCACAAUGGGGGGAACCCUGAUGCAGCGACGCCGCGUGGGUGAAGGAGUAUUUCGGUAUGUAAAGCCCUAUCGGCAGGGAAGAAGCAAGACGGUACCUGACUAAGAAGCCCCGGCUAACUACGUGCCAGCAGCCGCGGUAAUACGUAGGGGGCGAGCGUUAUCCGGAUUCACUGGGUGUAAAGGGAGCGCAGACGGCAGCGCAAGCCAGGAGUGAAAGCCCGGGGCCCAACCCCGGGACUGCUCUUGGAACUGCGCGGCUGGAGUGCAGGAGGGGCAGGCGGAAUUCCUGGUGUAGCGGUGAAAUGCGUAGAUAUCAGGAGGAACACCGGUGGCGAAGGCGGCCUGCUGGACUGCGACUGACGUUGAGGCCCGAAAGCGUGGGGAGCAAACAGGAUUAGAUACCCCGGUAGAG
RNAcentral lists this ribosomal RNA (450 nucleotides) under uncultured bacterium. RNAcentral describes it as "bacterial SSU rRNA". It matches the Rfam family "Bacterial small subunit ribosomal RNA", at positions 329 to 793 of the family's 1533-position model. The record is from RNAcentral.